AGAGGCAUAGCUCAAUGGCAGAGCACCCGCUUGAUAAGCGGGCGACCGCGGUUCGAUUCCACGUGUCUCUACCA
This 74-nucleotide transfer RNA is filed under the name Planctomycetota bacterium. Its description in RNAcentral is "Planctomycetes bacterium (activated sludge metagenome) tRNA-Ile". It matches the Rfam family "tRNA". From Rfam's summary of the family: Transfer RNA (tRNA) molecules are approximately 80 nucleotides in length. Their secondary structure includes four short double-helical elements and three loops (D, anti-codon, and T loops). The record is from RNAcentral. Lineage: Bacteria; Pseudomonadati; Planctomycetota.